This is a long non-coding RNA of Phyllostomus discolor (pale spear-nosed bat), 2412 nucleotides long. RefSeq lists it as uncharacterized. Lineage: Eukaryota; Metazoa; Chordata; Mammalia; Chiroptera; Phyllostomidae. The transcript is spliced from 3 exons. The record is from RefSeq and is a predicted model, not a curated record.
CAAAAAGCAAUUUUCAAAACUUCUAAAGAAAGUAUGAUUAAAAAAAAAUACUGGAUAUUCUUGCUCCUUGGGAAAAGUUAGACCACUGCCUCUUACAUUGUAUCAUGCUAGCCAAAAUGCAAGCCAAAAUGACUCUGCAAGUUAUGAGUAGCAUUCAAACAUAGCACUCAAACAAUUCGUUUAGCAUGAGAAGAGGGAGGCAGUUUUUUCCAACACAGACAGAACCAAGAGAGAGCUGCCUGCAGAGGGUGGCCCUCAUGUUAGCUAAGCCGUUUCAGAAACCCUGUCCCACCAUGCAGUUGCCAAAGUUAGCAGAGAACUCUCGGAACAAGUAUGUGGGGAUCAAAAAUAAGCCCGGUGCUGGAUAAAGAAACAGAAACUGGGGCAGGGAUUUAAAAGAAAGAAGAAAGCAAAAUAACAACAUUCAGAUACUAGCUAGGAGUUUCUACCUCAGGACCAGAGCCUUCUUGCUUAGUUCUAAGUCUACAAAAUUCCCUUAUACUUGUAAUAGGACUGAAAGCAAGAGAAAGACUAAGAAAUCUUGCCUGUGUUCUGAGGGGAAAAAAAAAGGAGCACUGGCCCUUUGUUUUUAAGUCCUUAACCCUAUCAUGCUAUGAGAAACUGGCUGAUUCAGCUAAAAAUGCUUUCAAGAUCUGUAUAUCAAGGAAGGAAAACACCCCACCACUAUUUCAGUAAAGGAAGAAUAGGAGAUUAAAAAGAGAACACUAAUUCACUCUUAGAACAGUCCUUUGGGGGCUCUCUGUAAGACUCGCAUAUUGUUUUUCUUUUUUUUAUGUACCUACCUCUCCCUUCAUCAGCCAGCCCCCUUAGCCCUGGGAGGGGAAGUGACAGCAAGACUGACAAUUAAGAGGCCUGAGUUCUAAUCUCAAUUUUCUAAAAUUUUACCAGCUGAAAUUUUGUCUGCUUCCAGACUUCCUUAGACAAGCUUUCCCCCUUCCCAUAUGCCACCAGCCUCUGCUUUCUAAACCUCAGGUAGUCAGAAUUCAGGAAUUCCCAGGUAUAGAGAAUGGGAAGAGCCUGGGGUGCAGUGCGAGUGAGCUUUACAAAUCCACAUGGAGAGGCUGCUAUCUCAGCAGCCACCUUCAUCCCAGUUUCCCCUCGAUGACUUGAAAACCAACUAAUGCUAUUAGCAGCUGCUGGAGAGAGUUGACACCAGCCUGUGCUACUCAGCUACAAAGAACAGGGUACUAGAACUUUGUCUAAUAAGAGGGAAGAGACUCAUGCAGAUAGGACACAUUUUGCUGACCUGCAAGUUUCCACAGGCUGAAAGUUCCAAGAGGUGAACCAAACAAUAGGCUGAUUCAACACAACAAAAAUGUUCAGGUAGGUCUACUGCAAUGACUUUUCUCUGUAACUGUCAUGCCAGGGCAUAAUCAAACACCUACUUGGUUGCAAACAGUAUGUUAAUUGUGAAACAUUUCCAACAAAAAUUUAAAGCUGCCCAUGCCUGUUAGGACUAUUUACUGCUACAUAAAGGCCACGGAUCUGAAACAAAAUCCCUGGUGCCCCGAGUCACCUUCCCACGGUACCAGUGGGUAUCCCAUGAUAUGAAUCAUGUAACCCUCAGAAACUAAGAGCAAUUAUGUCUGAGUGACCUUGAAUAUUUACAUUGAAGAAGUAGAAUGUAAAGUGGUUAUGUUAAAUCUAAGCAAUCUAAAGUGUCUAAUUACAAAUGUCUUAAACACAUUAAGCGUUAGUGAACAGAAAUAGCCAGGGGAAGGGGUUAAUUAUGGUCAUCCUUAAGUUUGAUCUCCAAGGGGGGGUAAAAAAAAUAUCUGAAGUUACCUAAAAUAAGAGAUAAAACUUUUAUAGUCACAUAUUAUACUAUGGAUAGGAUUUUAUCUAUUAUAAGAGAAACCCCUAAAGAAUAAAAAUAAAUAUAACUGAAUAUUAAAUAGGUAAUAUAGGAUAUCGCUGUGAAGCUGCAUUAGACAGGAAAACCUAACACAAAAUCCCUUUAUGGAAGAUAAUGAAGUAAUGACUCAGAGGAAGGGCAUGGAGGCCCUGAGAAAGCCAAGAAGGAAUAGACAUCUGCAAGAAACAGCUUAUGUGACCACCUGUAUGCCACCUACCAUAUCAGCUACAACAAGGGCAAAGAGGCACAUGAAUUUGGACCAUUUCUAUAAUAAAAGAAUCCAAACUACAAAAUUGUGUAUGUGGGGGAGGAGGGGCAGGGGCAGGGGAGGUGUGUUAAGCGGUGCUUUUUUUGACUAAGGUGCACUUUAACUUCAAAAGAACAAUGGACUAUUUUUUUUGCAUAGCCUUGUUUCACUUUCAAAUGCAAGGUAAUUAAGCCUUCAAAACAUUCAGAAGGCAACACCGAAUAAUUUUAAAUAAAUUUUUCUAUUUUCAACGUUAAAGAAAUGGCUUUUCUUACAUAUGUACUACAUA